GCGCCCAUAGCUCAAUUGGAUAGAGCGUUGGUCUCCGAAGCCAAAGGUUGCAAGUUCAAGUCUUGCUGGGCGCACCA
This 77-nucleotide transfer RNA is filed under the name Acidobacteriota bacterium. RNAcentral describes it as "tRNA-Arg". It matches the Rfam family "tRNA". From Rfam's summary of the family: Transfer RNA (tRNA) molecules are approximately 80 nucleotides in length. Their secondary structure includes four short double-helical elements and three loops (D, anti-codon, and T loops). Lineage: Bacteria; Pseudomonadati; Acidobacteriota. The record is from RNAcentral.